AGUGAACGCUGGCGGUAGGCCUAACACAUGCAAGUCGAACGGCAGCACAGUAAUUGCUUGCUCUUACGGGUGUCGAGUGGCGGACGGUUGAUUAAUACAUCGUAAUCUACUUUUUCGUGGGUGAUAACGUAGGGAAACUUACGCGAAUACCGCAUACGACCUACGGGUGUGAGCAUGGGAUCUUCUGACCUUGUGCGAUUGAAUGAGCCGAUGUCGGAUUAGCUAGUUGGCGGGGUAAAGGCCCACCAAGGCGACGAUCCGUAGCUGGUCUGAGAGGAUGUUUCGCCACACUGGAACUGAGGCAGGGUCGCGACUCCUAAGGGAGGGCACAGUGGGGAAUAUUGGACGAAGGAGCCAAGGCUGAUCCAGGCCUACCGCGUGGAUGAAGAAGGAGUUAGGGUUGUAAAGCCCUUUUGUUGGGAAAGAAAAGAAGCAGGUUUAUACCCCGCUGUUAUGACGGUGCCCAAAGAAUAAGCACCGGCUAACUUCGUG
This 492-nucleotide ribosomal RNA is filed under the name uncultured bacterium. Its description in RNAcentral is "partial 16S ribosomal RNA". It matches the Rfam family "Bacterial small subunit ribosomal RNA", at positions 29 to 507 of the family's 1533-position model. The record is from RNAcentral.